GAUGAACGCUAGCUACAGGCUUAACACAUGCAAGUCGAGGGGCAGCAUGGUCUUAGCUUGCUAAGGCCGAUGGCGACCGGCGCACGGGUGAGUAACACGUAUCCAACCUGCCGUCUACUCUUGGACAGCCUUCUGAAAGGAAGAUUAAUACAAGAUGGCAUCAUGAGUCCGCAUGUUCACAUGAUUAAAGGUAUUCCGGUAGACGAUGGGGAUGCGUUCCAUUAGAUAGUAGGCGGGGUAACGGCCCACCUAGUCUUCGAUGGAUAGGGGUUCUGAGAGGAAGGUCCCCCCACAUUGGAACUGAGACACGGUCCAAACUCCUACGGGAGGCAGCAGUGAGGAAUAUUGGUCAAUGGACGAGAGUCUGAACCAGCCAAGUAGCGUGCAGGAUGACGGCCCUAUGGGUUGUAAACUGCUUUUAUAAGGGAAUAAAGUGAGUCUCGUGAGAUUUUUUGCUAUGUACCUUAUGAAUAAGGACCGG
Molecule: ribosomal RNA, 481 nt
Filed under: uncultured bacterium
Lineage: Bacteria
Description: bacterial SSU rRNA
Rfam family: Bacterial small subunit ribosomal RNA
Source: RNAcentral